GGAACUCUGCCUCUGUGGUGAGAACAAGCCUAGGCCAGCCACCUGGAGAUGAGAAUACACGUGGAGCAGAGUCACUCAUCCUGCCACAAUCAUCAUUUUCUUCUAUUUCUGUGAAGUUUGCUGGUCCAGAUGCCACAU
Molecule: long non-coding RNA, 138 nt
Organism: Ochotona princeps (American pika)
Lineage: Eukaryota; Metazoa; Chordata; Mammalia; Lagomorpha; Ochotonidae
Exons: 2
Source: RefSeq, a predicted model, not a curated record